UAUCGCUAAAGGAUGGGCCUGCGUCUGAUUAGCUAGUUGGUAGUGUAACGGACUACCAAGGCGAUGAUCAGUAGCCGGUCUGAGAGGAUGAACGGCCACAUUGGGACUGAGACACGGCCCAAACUCCUACGGGAGGCAGCAGUGGGGAAUAUUGCACAAUGGGGGAAACCCUGAUGCAGCGACGCCGCGUGAGUGAUGAAGUAUUUCGGUAUGUAAAACUCUAUCAGCAGGGAAGAUAAUGACGGUACCUGACUAAGAAGCACCGGCUAAAUACGUGCCAGCAGCCGCGGUAAUACGUAUGGUGCAAGCGUUAUCCGGAUUUACUGGGUGUAAAGGGUGCGUAGGUGGUAUGGCAAGUCAGAAGUGAAAGGCUGGGGCUCAACCCCGGGACUGCUUUUGAAACUGUCAAACUAGAGUACAGGAGAGGAAAGCGGAAUUCCUAGUGUAGCGGUGAAAUGCGUAGAUAUUAGGAGGAACACCAGUGGCGAAGGCGGCUCUCUGGACUG
RNAcentral lists this ribosomal RNA (506 nucleotides) under uncultured bacterium. RNAcentral's name for it is "bacterial SSU rRNA". It matches the Rfam family "Bacterial small subunit ribosomal RNA", at positions 213 to 736 of the family's 1533-position model. The record is from RNAcentral.